This 466-nucleotide ribosomal RNA is filed under the name Vreelandella stevensii. Its description in RNAcentral is "partial 16S ribosomal RNA". It matches the Rfam family "Bacterial small subunit ribosomal RNA", at positions 338 to 795 of the family's 1533-position model. The record is from RNAcentral. Lineage: Bacteria; Pseudomonadati; Pseudomonadota; Gammaproteobacteria; Oceanospirillales; Halomonadaceae.
CCUACGGGAGGCAGCAGUGGGGAAUAUUGGACAAUGGGCGAAAGCCUGAUCCAGCCAUGCCGCGUGUGUGAAGAAGGCCUUCGGGUUGUAAAGCACUUUCAGUGGGGAAGAAAGCCUUGGGGCUAAUACCCUCGAGGAAGGACAUCACCCACAGAAGAAGCACCGGCUAACUCCGUGCCAGCAGCCGCGGUAAUACAGGAGGGUGCGAGCGUUAAUCGGAAUUACUGGGCGUAAAGCGCGCGUAGGCGGUCUGAUAAGCCGGUUGUGAAAGCCCCGGGCUCAACCUGGGAACGGCAUCCGGAACUGUCAGGCUAGAGUGCAGGAGAGGAAGGUAGAAUUCCCGGUGUAGCGGUGAAAUGCGUAGAGAUCGGGAGGAAUACCAGUGGCGAAGGCGGCCUUCUGGACUGACACUGACGCUGAGGUGCGAAAGCGUGGGUAGCAAACAGGAUUAGAUACCCCGGUAGUC